GAUGAACGCUGGCGGCGUGCCUAAUACAUGCAAGUCGAGCGAACAGAUGAGGAGCUUGCUCCUCUGACGUUAGCGGCGGACGGGUGAGUAACACGUGGAUAACCUACCUAUAAGACUGGGAUAACUUCGGGAAACCGGGGCUAAUACCGGAUAAUAUAUUGAACCGCAUGGUUCAAUAGUGAAAGACGGUUUUGCUGUCACUUAUAGAUGGAUCCGCGCCGCAUUAGCUAGUUGGUAAGGUAACGGCUUACCAAGGCAACGACGCGUAGCCGACCUGAGAGGGUGAUCGGCCACACUGGAACUGAGACACGGUCCAGACUCCUACGGGAGGCAGCAGUAGGGAAUCUUCCGCAAUGGGCGAAAGCCUGACGGAGCAACGCCGCGUGAGUGAUGAAGGUCUUCGGAUCGUAAAACUCUGUUAUUAGGGAAGAACAAAUGUGUAAGUAACUACGCACGUCUUGACGGUACCUAAUCAGAAAGCCACGGCUAACUACGUG
Molecule: ribosomal RNA, 497 nt
Filed under: uncultured bacterium
Lineage: Bacteria
Description: partial 16S ribosomal RNA
Rfam family: Bacterial small subunit ribosomal RNA
Source: RNAcentral